UUUCGCAAUGCCCGAAAGGGUGACGAAGCGACGCCGCGUGAGUGAGGAAGGCCUUCGGGUUGUAAAGCUCUGUCAGGAGUUAAGAAAUAUAAGUGUGCUAAUACCACAUUUAUUUGACAAAAGCUCCAAAGGAAGCCACGGCUAACUCUGUGCCAGCAGCCGCGGUAAUACAGAGGUGGCAAGCGUUGUUCGGAAUUAUUGGGCGUAAAGAGCACGUAGGUGGGUUUGCAAGUCAGAUGUGAAAGCCUUCUGUUCAACGGAAGAAUUGCAUCUGAAACUGCAAACCUUGAGUGUAGGAGGGGAGAAUGGAACUUCUGGUGGAGCGGUGAAAUGCGUAAAUAUCAGAAGGAACGCCGGCGGCGAAAGCGACUCUCUGGCCUAUUACUGACACUGAGGUGCGAAAGUUAGGGGAGCAAACGGGAUUAGAUACCCCGGUAGUCCUAACCGUAAACGAUGGGCACUAAGUAGAGGGGUUUUA
This 478-nucleotide ribosomal RNA is filed under the name uncultured anaerobic ammonium-oxidizing bacterium. RNAcentral's name for it is "bacterial SSU rRNA". It matches the Rfam family "Bacterial small subunit ribosomal RNA", at positions 364 to 833 of the family's 1533-position model. The record is from RNAcentral.